AACUAUGACCAAAUCACCACGAACCUGCCCAAGCUAAUCAGAUCUGGGAAUGUAAGCAGGUUGAGCCUGGUUAGUACUUGGAUGGGCAACUGCUUGGGGAAUACCAAGUGCUGUCGGUU
Molecule: ribosomal RNA, 119 nt
Filed under: Petromyzon marinus (sea lamprey)
Lineage: Eukaryota; Metazoa; Chordata; Hyperoartia; Petromyzontiformes; Petromyzontidae
Source: RNAcentral